UAUUUACAGAUGGAACUACAGAGUCCACAAACUGUGAAACGCCUUACAAAAUGAAGACCAUGAAAAUAUUUCUUUCUCAUUAAAUAUAUAGAUGGAGUGAAAAUGAGAGGGUAGAAGAUAAAAAGCAUGACUAAACAGAGGACCCUGGAGGAGCCUGCAAAGAAAGAUGCAUUUUGAGGAAAUAGAUUUACAGAAUGAAAUCUAUUACAUCUGAAGAAUCAGAAAUGUGCAACAGAGAAGAAUUGAAACAUAAUAAUACAGCUUCAAGAGGAAAACCAGAAAGAAGGAAAUCUGGAAGAGAGUGUUGUCUCUCAGACCUGUUUUCUCUUGGUUUUCUCUCCGGACUCUACAAUAUAAUGGCUAGAGAUGUAGAUAUGAAGAAGUGAAGUGAUAUCUCAGAUUUUAACAAAUAUGGCAGUACAUUAUUUCUUCAUGAGCAUGGUAGAUGAAGGUAUUCUUCAAAGGGAAUCAAGAACUAUUGAAAAUUAAAGAACAUUUCUAGAAAAUCAGUGGAAGAGCUAAGGUGAAAAGUGGAAACUUA
RNAcentral lists this long non-coding RNA (541 nucleotides) under Cyanistes caeruleus (blue tit). RNAcentral describes it as "lncRNA (ENSCCEG00000005260.1)". The record is from RNAcentral. Lineage: Eukaryota; Metazoa; Chordata; Aves; Passeriformes; Paridae.